GUUGGGUAGGGGAGCGUUCUGUAAGCCUGUGAAGGUGGCCUGUGAGGGUUGCUGGAGGUAUCAGAAGUGCGAAUGCUGACAUAAGUAACGAUAAAGCGGGUGAAAAGCCCGCUCGCCGGAAGACCAAGGGUUCCUGUCCAACGUUAAUCGGGGCAGGGUGAGUCGACCCCUAAGGCGAGGCCGAAAGGCGUAGUCGAUGGGAAACGGGUUAAUAUUCCCGUACUUGGUGUUACUGCGAAGGGGGGACGGAGAAGGCUAUGUUGGCCGGGCGACGGUUGUCCCGGUUUAAGCGUGUAGGUGUGUGUUCCAGGUAAAUCCGGUUCACUUUAACACUGAGGCGUGACGACGAGGCACUACGGUGCUGAAGCAACAAAUGCCCUGCUUCCAGGAAAAGCCUCUAAGCAUCAGGUAACAUCAAAUCGUACCCCAAACCGACACAGGUGGUCAGGUAGAGAAUACCAAGGCGCUUGAGAGAACUCGGGUGAAGGAACUAGGCAAAAUGGUGCCGUAACUUCGGGAGAAGGCACGCUGACACGUAGGUGAAGUGAUUUACUCAUGGAGCUGAAGUCAGUCGAAGAUACCAGCUGGCUGCAACUGUUUAUUAAAAACACAGCACUGUGCAAACACGAAAGUGGACGUAUACGGUGUGACGCCUGCCCGGUGCCGGAAGGUUAAUUGAUGGGGUCAGCGCAAGCGAAGCUCCUGAUCGAAGCCCCGGUAAACGGCGGCCGUAACUAUAACGGUCCUAAGGUAGCGAAAUUCCUUGUCGGGUAAGUUCCGACCUGCACGAAUGGCGUAAUGAUGGCCAGGCUGUCUCCACCCGAGACUCAGUGAAAUUGAACUCGCUGUGAAGAUGCAGUGUACCCGCGGCAAGACGGAAAGACCCCGUGAACCUUUACUAUAGCUUGACACUGAACAUUGAGCCUUGAUGUGUAGGAUAGGUGGGAGGCUUUGAAGUGUGGACGCCAGUCUGCAUGGAGCCGACCUUGAAAUACCACCCUUUAAUGUUUGAUGUUCUAACGUGGACCCGUAAUCCGGGUUGCGGACAGUGUCUGGUGGGUAGUUUGACUGGGGCGGUCUCCUCCUAAAGAGUAACGGAGGAGCACGAAGGUUGGCUAAUCCUGGUCGGACAUCAGGAGGUUAGUGCAAUGGCAUAAGCCAGCUUGACUGCGAGCGUGACGGCGCGAGCAGGUGCGAAAGCAGGUCAUAGUGAUCCGGUGGUUCUGAAUGGAAGGGCCAUCGCUCAACGGAUAAAAGGUACUCCGGGGAUAACAGGCUGAUACCGCCCAAGAGUUCAUAUCGACGGCGGUGUUUGGCACCUCGAUGUCGGCUCAUCACAUCCUGGGGCUGAAGUAGGUCCCAAGGGUAUGGCUGUUCGCCAUUUAAAGUGGUACGCGAGCUGGGUUUAGAACGUCGUGAGACAGUUCGGUCCCUAUCUGCCGUGGGCGCUGGAGAACUGAGGGGGGCUGCUCCUAGUACGAGAGGACCGGAGUGGACGCAUCACUGGUGUUCGGGUUGUCAUGCCAAUGGCACUGCCCGGUAGCUAAAUGCGGAAGAGAUAAGUGCUGAAAGCAUCUAAGCACGAAACUUGCCCCGA
This 1597-nucleotide ribosomal RNA is filed under the name Salmonella enterica subsp. enterica serovar Napoli. Its description in RNAcentral is "partial 23S ribosomal RNA". It matches the Rfam family "Bacterial large subunit ribosomal RNA", at positions 1223 to 2802 of the family's 2925-position model. The record is from RNAcentral. Lineage: Bacteria; Pseudomonadati; Pseudomonadota; Gammaproteobacteria; Enterobacterales; Enterobacteriaceae.